Molecule: long non-coding RNA, 2506 nt
Organism: Onychomys torridus (southern grasshopper mouse)
Lineage: Eukaryota; Metazoa; Chordata; Mammalia; Rodentia; Cricetidae
Exons: 3
Source: RefSeq, a predicted model, not a curated record
CGCGCGCUCGCGGCCGGGCGCGUCCACACAAUGCCGGCGCGGGCUGCUGGGGCCGCGCCGGGAGCCGCCCGCCGGGCCGCGGGGCGCAAGGCUGAGAGUGCGCGGGGGGCCCGGCCGCGCGCGGGACACAAAGCGAAUGGACGCGCGGGGGCGGCGGGCGGGGAGCCGCGGCCCCACCGAAGGGACCCCCGGCCGCCGAGCGGCCGCUACGUCAGCGCCCCGGGUGGCGCCGCCUCCGCCCGCCGGCCUGGGCCCCGCUCCCGCCGCCGGGAAGGCGGGCCGCGGUAGAAGAUGUUUAUUGAGCACCUACUGUAUGCUGACAGCUGUGCAUCAGAGCUGAGAAGAGUCAGUUUUCCUGUUCACUGUGGAGUAGAGAGACCCAGGGAUGGACUUAGAUUUGAGUAGACAGUGGAGGAAAGCAUGGAAAGGCUGAACAGAAAUCAAGGUCAUAUCAAUGAAAGCCGAUCUUUGCCUGUCCAAAUUGGCAAAACACCAUCAGACUGGCCUUGCCACGCAGCUGAGUUUGUUCAUACAAACAGCUUCUGGACUCUAGGGGCCAGCUAUACCAGGAAUAAGAAGCAACCAGGACUCACCUACACAGUGGCCUGUUCACCCCUCACCCCAUCUCCUGACCUUAUAUUUUGCUUAUUAAAUGUGAACACUUGUGUUGCUCCCCCAUUUUAAUGGAAAUGCUUCAAGGGACAAGCCUUACGCCUUGUCCUUGAAGGGAGAGCAAGGCCUGGUAAAGGUGCUACACAAGAGCCUUUAGUAAGCAGAACGUCCCCUCUGUGCUGAGGAGAAAGAAAAUUCGUAUUACAACAAAAAAGAAGACCCAGUGUUCACAAGUUGUUUCAAGAUGGCAGAGUUACAGCAAAAAACAUAAAGUUUCUUUUUAAAAAAUGAGAAAAAUGAAACACAACAAAAACCCAUGAAGAGCAUCAACCGGACCCCAAUCUGCCAUCUGACCAGGACCACCACCAGGUUGAGUUCAUCUUGGGUGUGUACAAAGCCUCAGAUCUGUUCCUGAGUUCUGGCUAGUGCCACAUACUCUUGGCACUGGUCUCCUAGUGAUGCCCUGCAAUCCCAGUGGUAUGUGAAGAAGACGAGUGUGUCCCCGGCAAAGUGAGGGUCUAGUUCCAUAUCCCUGGAGCCUCCAGAACAUUCUCCUUCAUGCUCAAGCCUAAACUUCCAGUCCUUAAGAUGGAAGCCUACCUUGGAGCCAAGAGUGGUCUCUUAGGCCUUAAACACAUGCAAUCCAAGUGAUAUGAAAGCAGGGGAAGGGGUCGGGGGAGAGAUCCCAUCCCUGAGAUCCCUGUCUUUGGGACUUGAUGGAGCACAAAACUACUAGCCCCUCAGUUUAAGCCAGAAGGCUGUUCUGGUCAGUUUGCUGGCCUCAGGUCAGCUGGACUGAGGAUCCAGAACAGUGAGGUUUGUGUCACCACGGGGAGACCCUGCGAGGGUACCAUGUGUGAAAGCAUAUUCAGAGUAACAGUCUUCUGCUUCGGUUGCAAGGCCAUUCUUUUGAAAUCCAGAGUGCACUGGACUUGCUUCCCAUAGGCCACAGUCCUCCCUGGGACCGUGGCUUUGUAAGAUGAUAUAGGCCCAGCUACCAAACACAGCCAAAGGUUCUGGUGGCCUGAUACUGGCAACAGGUACCAAGGUUCACUGUCACUGAGACCCUGGAGACCAAAUUAAUAGAGUCAGUCAAUAAGUAAUCUCCCCUGGAAUUUGGAGGUCAGAGCAUAGUAGGCAGACGCCGGUGAGUCUGGCCGGGUGGAUGGAACUCUGGUCCUGACGCCUCCGGGGAUCGCAGCCAGUGCAAGGAACCCAGCUAAUACAAGGCCGCAGAGGCGGCUCUUUAAGUAGCAGGGCCUGACCGACCGAGCAGGCGCAGUCCCAGGCCUCGUCACGCGGUUCCGCCCUGGCGCGGCAGCCUGAGCGGCCAGCAGGCUUCGGCAUGGCUCGGCCCCGCCCCUAGACGCGCGCGCAUCUGCCGCGCAAGCCUCGCCCUGCCCGCCGAGCCAGAGGCCUAGGCUAGGAGUGCUGGCUGCAGGCACUUCCUGGCCACUAAGCCAGACACGCCUAAACCUGGCUGCAAGGAGAUCGAGGUAAAAAGAUGGCAUAAAAAGCAGCCACACUGGUAACUCCAAGUUUAAGAAGGAUUUAAUGCAGAUCAAUUUUCCCCCCUUAGGCCUUUAUGAAAGUCACUUUUGACUUCUCAGCCUGAUUGUCUUUAGUGGAACUCAAAACAUUGUGCUCAGAAUAAUCUUCAUAUUAACUACCUUCUAAUGUCCCUCUAGAAUUACUCAGACAGGGCACGGUAUUUCUGAACUUUCUGUUAUCUGAUGAAACUCUUCAUGAGCUACCUCAAUUUGAAAAAAACCUCUAAAACUUAUGCUUUUACAAAUGAAUUUAAAAGCCACACCAUACUUUAUACUAAAAGAAUAAAGAUUUUUAUUAAGCAUUGUAAGUUGCAUUCAAUAGCCUCCAGAUACACCACACCACA